RNAcentral lists this ribosomal RNA (484 nucleotides) under uncultured bacterium. RNAcentral describes it as "partial 16S ribosomal RNA". It matches the Rfam family "Bacterial small subunit ribosomal RNA", at positions 30 to 507 of the family's 1533-position model. The record is from RNAcentral.
AUUGAACGCUGGCGGCAGGCCUAACGCAUGCAAGUCGAGCGGAUGAGUGGAGCUUGCUCCAUGAUUCAGCGGCGGACGGGUGAGUAAUGCCUAGGAAUCUGCCUGGUAGUGGGGGACAACGUUUCGAAAGGAACGCUAAUACCGCAUACGUCCUACGGGAGAAAGUGGGGGAUCUUCGGACCUCACGCUAUCAGAUGAGCCUAGGUCGGAUUAGCUAGUUGGUGAGGUAAAGGCUCACCAAGGCGACGAUCCGUAACUGGUCUGAGAGGAUGAUCAGUCACACUGGAACUGAGACACGGUCCAGACUCCUACGGGAGGCAGCAGUGGGGAAUAUUGGACAAUGGGCGAAAGCCUGAUCCAGCCAUGCCGCGUGUGUGAAGAAGGUCUUCGGAUUGUAAAGCACUUUAAGUUGGGAGGAAGGGCAGUAAGUUAAUACCUUGCUGUUUUGACGUUACCAACAGAAUAAGCACCGGCUAACUUCGUG